GGUGAACGCUGGCGGCGUGGAUGAGGCAUGCAAGUCGAAUGGGUUUAGACCCAUGGCAGACGAGGUAGGAACACGUAGGUACGUACCCCGAAGUCAGGGAUAACCCGGCGAAAGUCGGAAUAAUACUUGAUGGUCCCCAUAUGUAAUGUAUGGGGUAAAGAUUUAUCGCUUCGGGAACGGCCUGCGUUCUAUCAGCUUGAUGGUAGUGUAACGGACUACCAUGGCUACGACGGAUAGGGGAGGUGAGAGCCUGACCCCCACCGAUGGAACUGCGACACGGUCCAUACUCCUACGGGAGGCCGCAGUCGAGAAUCUUCCGCAAUGGACGAAAGUCUGACGGAGCGACGCCGCGUGGUGGAUGAAGCCCUUAGGGGCGUAAACACCUUUUAUGAGGGAGGAAGUUUAUUGACGUUACCUCAUGAAUAAGGGGCUCCCAAUUCUG
Molecule: ribosomal RNA, 442 nt
Filed under: uncultured bacterium
Lineage: Bacteria
Description: bacterial SSU rRNA
Rfam family: Bacterial small subunit ribosomal RNA
Source: RNAcentral